RNAcentral lists this antisense RNA (69 nucleotides) under Streptomyces sp. DI166. RNAcentral's name for it is "ASpks TB sRNA". It matches the Rfam family "ASpks TB sRNA". Lineage: Bacteria; Bacillati; Actinomycetota; Actinomycetes; Kitasatosporales; Streptomycetaceae. The record is from Rfam by way of RNAcentral.
CUUCACCGAGCCGAGCCACAGGGGCCGUUCGCGGUUGUCGCCGUAGGUGGCGAGCAGGGCUUCGGCCUC